AACAAACGCUGGCGGCGUGCCUAAUACAUGCAAGUCGAACGGGGAAAGCUUUCGGGUGAGUACUAGUGGCGCACGGGUGAGGAACGCGUGGAUAAUCUGCCUUAGAGUGGGGGAUAACUAGUCGAAAGAUUAGCUAAUACCGCAUAAGACCACGAGAGCUGCGGCUUUUGAGGUCAAAGGUUUUUCGCUCUAAGAUGAGUCCGCGUAAGAUUAGCUAGUUGGUGAGGUAACGGCUCACCAAGGCGACGAUCUUUAACUGGUCUGAGAGGAUGAUCAGUCACACUGGAACUGAGACACGGUACAGACUCCUACGGGAGGCAGCAGUAGGGAAUAGUGCACAAGGGAGGAAACUCUGAUGCAGCGACGCCGCGUGAGUGAUGAAGGCCUUCGGGUCGUAAAGCUCUGUCGCAGGGGAAUAACACAAUGAAGGUACCCUGUAAGAAAGGAUCGGCUAACUUCGUG
RNAcentral lists this ribosomal RNA (462 nucleotides) under uncultured bacterium. Its description in RNAcentral is "partial 16S ribosomal RNA". It matches the Rfam family "Bacterial small subunit ribosomal RNA", at positions 29 to 507 of the family's 1533-position model. The record is from RNAcentral.